GAUGAACGCUAGCGGCAGGCUUAACACAUGCAAGUCGAGGGGCAGCGGGGUGUAGCAAUACAUCGCCGGCGACCGGCGCACGGGUGCGUAACACGUAUGGAAUCUGCCCUUUACUGGGGGAUAGCCCGGAGAAAUCCGGAUUAAUACCCCAUAACAAGCGAGGUGGCAUCAUCUUGCUUUGAAAGCUCCGGCGGUAAAGGAUGACCAUGCGCCCGAUUAGCUAGUUGGUGAGGUAAUGGCUCACCAAGGCUACGAUCGGUAGGGGGCCUGAGAGGGUUAUCCCCCACACUGGUACUGAGACACGGACCAGACUCCUACGGGAGGCAGCAGUGAGGAAUAUUGCGCAAUGGAGGCAACUCUGACGCAGCCAUGCCGCGUGCAGGAAGAAGGCGCUACGCGUUGUAAACUGCUUUUAUCCGGGAAGAACCCCAGGACGUGUCCUGGGUUGACGGUACCGGAGGAAUAAGCACGGCUAACUUCGUGCCAGCAGCCGCGGUAAAG
This 501-nucleotide ribosomal RNA is filed under the name uncultured bacterium. RNAcentral's name for it is "bacterial SSU rRNA". It matches the Rfam family "Bacterial small subunit ribosomal RNA", at positions 28 to 525 of the family's 1533-position model. The record is from RNAcentral.